CCAUGCAGUCGAGCGGAUGAAGGGAGCUUGCUCCUGGAUUCAGCGGCGGACGGGUGAGUAAUGCCUGGGAAUCUGCCUGGUAGUGGGGGAUAACGUCCGGAAACGGGCGCUAAUACCGCAUACGUCCUGAGGGAGAAAGUGGGGGAUCUUCGGACCUCACGCUAUCAGAUGAGCCUAGGUCGGAUUAGCUAGUUGGUGGGGUAAAGGCCUACCAAGGCGACGAUCCGUAACUGGUCUGAGAGGAUGAUCAGUCACACUGGAACUGAGACACGGUCCAGACUCCUACGGGAGGCAGCAGUGGGGAAUAUUGGACAAUGGGCGAAAGCCUGAUCCAGCCAUGCCGCGUGUGUGAAGAAGGUCUUCGGAUUGUAAAGCACUUUAAGUUGGGAGGAAGGGCAGUAAGUUAAUACCUUGCUGUUUUGACGUUACCAACAGAAUAAGCACCGGCUAACUUCGUGCCAGCAGCCGCGGUAAUACGAAGGGUGCAAGCGUUAAUCGGAAUUACUGGGCGUAAAGCGCGCGUAGGUGGUUCAGCAAGUUGGAUGUGAAAUCCCCGGGCUCAACCUGGGAACUGCAUCCAAAACUACUGAGCUAGAGUACGGUAGAGGGUGGUGGAAUUUCCUGUGUAGCGGUGAAAUGCGUAGAUAUAGGAAGGAACACCAGUGGCGAAGGCGACCACCUGGACUGAUACUGACACUGAGGUGCGAAAGCGUGGGGAGCAAACAGGAUUAGAUACCCUGGUAGUCCACGCCGUAAACGAUGUCGACUAGCCGUUGGGAUCCUUGAGAUCUUAGUGGCGCAGCUAACGCGAUAAGUCGACCGCCUGGGGAGUACGGCCGCCAGGUUAAAACUCAUAUGAAUUGACGGGGGCCCGCACAAGCGGUGGAGCAUGUGUUUAAUUCGAAGCAACGCGAAGAACCUUACCUGGCCUUGACAUGCUGAGAACUUUCCAGAGAUGGAUUGGUGCCUUCGGGAACUCAGACCCAGGUGCUGCAUGGCUGUCGUCAGCUCGUGUCGUGAGAAGUUGGGUUAAGUCCCGUAACGAGGGCAACCCUUGUCCUUAGUUACCAGCACCCCGG
Molecule: ribosomal RNA, 1079 nt
Filed under: Pseudomonas aeruginosa
Lineage: Bacteria; Pseudomonadati; Pseudomonadota; Gammaproteobacteria; Pseudomonadales; Pseudomonadaceae
Also listed under: 1 other name
Description: bacterial SSU rRNA
Rfam family: Bacterial small subunit ribosomal RNA
Source: RNAcentral